Molecule: ribosomal RNA, 390 nt
Filed under: Triticum aestivum (bread wheat)
Lineage: Eukaryota; Viridiplantae; Streptophyta; Magnoliopsida; Poales; Poaceae
Description: partial small subunit ribosomal RNA
Source: RNAcentral
AUGGCUGUAUAUAAAGAUGUUCCUACUAGGUAUUCUGACGUUGAUUAUCUAAAAGAAAGAGCAAUUCUAACACCAACGAACGAAGUAGCUGGAAAAAUAAACGAACGUGUUCUAUCUUUAGUGCCUACCAGUGAGAGAGAGUACCUAAGCUGUGAUACUAUAGGGAAUUCAGCUGAUGCAUUUCGUAAUCAGGACGCCUUCUAUCCUGUCGAACAAACCAUCGUUGUAAAUAUUGCCGUUGGCCCUUUCUGCCUUAUCUCCCUCCUUAUGACAAUCUCUACUCACUGUAAAUGCCGCUUGGCCAUGCUGUUUAAACUAUGUCUUGUCGUUGCUGUUACACUGUGUGCGCCUCCUUAUAUCUUCUAUUUGCUGCUGGGCUUGCUAAUCUAA